Molecule: long non-coding RNA, 1720 nt
Organism: Syngnathus typhle (broad-nosed pipefish)
Lineage: Eukaryota; Metazoa; Chordata; Actinopteri; Syngnathiformes; Syngnathidae
Exons: 3
Source: RefSeq, a predicted model, not a curated record
AUUAGGAUCAGAAUUUGGGGAACUGGCAGGUGAAGCUCCAGAUUGGAUCUUCUGCUCCCAUCGUAUUCAAGUUUGCCGCAGAAUUCAUCCUGAAGGCCCACGAGAGUGUCACGAUCUGGGCGGCUGACGCUGGCCGAAACCACAAUCCUCCCUCUGAUCUAGUCUGGGAGACACAGUCCAACUGGGGACCCGUAGGCCAGGUCCACUUUACCUUGAUCAACGCCAACGGAGAGGAAAUAAGGAUGAGCAAAGCCACUGGCGCACGUUUGGAAGAUGAUGAUGGAAAUUCCACUUCCACCGUGGGAUAGAGGAAAUGGAAUUUCGGUUUCUUGUGUGUCUUGACAUAUGAAGGGAUUGACAAUAAAGCAGACUUUGACUUUUGACAUGGUCACAUUAUAAAAAUAUUGUAUAAUGUUAGGUCUAAAUACCAUCAGACAUUUAACCACACGCUGGAAGGAAGAGGAGAAAAGAACCAGAACAGGUUUACUCGCGAGGAGAACGAUAGAGAGAGGAAACUCGGUUACAAUCUCCAUCAAUUCUGAGUUCUCCCUCCACGUGCUCCUCUAUUUAAUGUUUUGGUUUCCCUGGUUACAGAGGCGUUGCUACACUAAAGGGAGGGGAGAUUGUGUCUGUAGCAACGCUGAUUAGCAAAAGAAUGUAGUGUGGUGUGAAUUAGCACUUCAUUGUCGGCCCGUGACCCCCGCAGAGUUUGCCCAUCUGUUCUCCUCCAGUUGUUGGCCGAGUCGUCCCCGAGCGAGAUCAGAUAACUCCUGUGGAACAAUGCAACUAAACCUUGGCUAGACUUUAUCUACUUAGUAAAUUAACACGCAAUAAGAAUGAGUGACUUGUCCUAAACACUUUAACAAACAUUGAGUAAAUAUGGGAUAACUUGUAACCAUCUAUGAACCAAACCUACAGUUAACUAAAAGGAAUGAAGUUUCUUUCAACCAAAUAAGAACAUUUCGCCUAUGCAAAUAAGCUCUGCUCAUUGUUAGUGAAGGCCUCUUACAGAAACAAAAACACACAGGUAACAUAAGGACAGGAAGGAUAAAAUCCACAGGGAUCAAAAGGAAUCCCUGUCACUAAAGAGAAAAACCUAGAUGAAAGUAAAGCCAUAAACUAAUAAAUGACAAGGCUUUACUUAAAUUAUUCCAACAUUUCCCUCCUGUUUAUCACAUAUUUGCUCAAUAUUUACAUCACCAAAAACAACCACUUCUCUCGAUUUUCGGUUGUCGGAUCACAAGUAUGGCACAAAUAAGUUUACACCAAAAAAAGAUAAAUGCUGCGAUAUUAUCAUUCGGAAACACACAGAUCUGGGGAAAAGUCUGUGAACUCAAGUGCAAAAAAUGCAUCAUCAUCAUCGUUAUCAUCAACAUGCUGGCGUUCAGACAUUAGGCAUACCCGGGCCAUCUCGUCGUCCAUGGGCGAGAUUGCUGUAUUGAUAAGACGAUUAAACAGAGCACGGAGACAUGGAAUACAACAACAUCCACACAAGGUGAGUAUAGCAGUAAUUGAGGACACAAGGGCUUUAUACUUCCCAAAAGCAGUCAUCCACUUGUUGUGCUCUUUCAUCCUCGUGUUGAGGGAUUGCAAGUUUGCAAUCAUCUUCGUCAGGCUCCCAUCAGGGGCGGUGUCAUUCUGGAUGAAGGUGCAGCAUUGUUCCCUGAACAUUGCGCAGACCCUUCCUUUCCCAGACAACAACAUAACAAGAGCAUUGCGG